UAAGGCUGUAUCCGAAUUGCGUCCCUGGCCACUCCGAAUUGCGUCCCGAGCUCUUAUCCGAAUUGCGUCCGGUGCAUAUUCGGGAAGGUGGCAACACCGCAUAUGAAAGGCAAUGUCAAUCGAUGAUUUCAUCACUCGACGGUACGGGUCUAAGUGCAAAAUUAGCAAAAAUUAACUCUGCAAAAAAAGCGCUUCCCUCACAGCUUACUGAAAAAGAAAUCUACGUCGCAGAAGAGAUGAGCAACUAUAAUGUUGAAGCUAUUCCUCGCUUGAAGUUCAUAAAACGUGUUUCCUUCAAAUUUUUGCCUGUAAAAAAGUGAUUUUUCAAGUGAAACUACCUUGACGAAAGGGCCCUUCACACCCUGGAUUAUUUGUUUUAAAGUUCAUGACGAGACUCUUUCAAUCUCAAUUCGCCAAACGUUUUUCGUAUUGUGAGAACUUUUGUCAACCGAACGCUACCAUUCACCGCUCUAUUCCUAUUUAUUUUGUUCUACUUUCCGGACGUUGGUAUCAACAUGAGAAAAAGUUUUAGAUGGUAGUGGUUCCUGCCUUUAGCUAGGAGCCAUGUGGUUCACACUGACGGUAGUUCUCUCGAUCCUCUCACUUCUGGAAUUACCAAUACACUUUCACGCUGAGGGUUCUGAAAAAACUCAACGGCAAGAUUCGCUGAGCUUUGGGGGCCGGGCCGUAGGGGCGAUUAGGAAAGUCAUCGGGGCGGGUAAAGCUCGGAAGUCUCGAAUUUCAUCGGGAAGUUUCAAUGGUUCAAUCGGGAGCUCCAGAGAUGGUGGAAGUCAAGUUGGCGAUGACGGUAGAUGGGGCAUGGACGCCUGCACGCACAAAAGACAAUCACGAUGGGAACGUUGCUUGCUGCACUUUCAAAGAAAUGAAAGAUCCAGGAAACUAAAGCGUAAUUUUUCGAGAGCUGGUUCAUGGUUAGGAGUCAAACUUGGUAUGGAAAAUAAGAAAGAAGAGAGAAAUAAAGCCAUUCGCGAAAGCGGGAGAGAGCUCGAAAAUAAACUCGUCGAUUAUCUGUUCCAAGAUAUCAAAGAUGAGUCCCUUUUCUCUGCCGACACCGACCACAAAAGAGAUGUUCGGGGUUACUUGCCAUCUGAAGGAUGGGGACCGGAACCGGACACUCCGGACAAGUUCCAGAUGGAAGUGACUGGCGAAUAUAAUUUUGAUACAAGGGACCCGGACGCCAUCACCAAGUUCUGCAUUCUUCGGUGCUUGAAGAUUUACGGCUACAUUUUCGACGAAUACUUACCGGACCCUAAUGUCGGAUUCAUCACGGAAGGCGGCGAAAAUUUGAAAGGGAGGGGUAGGAUAAUUCCUAUAACUCGAGGUAAUGUACGAUUCAAUGGAGAGAUGAGGAACAGAGGAGGGUCGCCGCGAAAGUUCAUCAGAAAGGAAUCUUUCAACAAACUCUUUUGUGAAUGCGAAAUUCGUAAUCAGUUCAUAGAAUUUAUCGAAACUUGUGAGGCUGGUGACAUCUUGAAUCAGUUCAGGGAGCUUAAGAAAACAUCUUCCGGAAAGCAGUGCACUAUUUGAAGACAAACCUGGCCAAAGUAGGUGCAUACGAUUGGCUCCCACACCCGGAGGUGCUGGGACUCCUCUAUCUGGAAAUGCGACAACGCGAGAGCCCAUUUCCUGUUGGAAUGCACCCCUACAAAAUAAGGAAUAUGGUUGUUACCGCUGUGGGAGUUCCGGACAACGCCGAGGAUUAUAACAGAUGGUUUAAAUAUGGGACGGCCUAAAUCGAAUAAAUCAAAAUAAUCGAAUAAGUACUGGACCAUAGACAGGAACAGUGGCGGAUCCAGAGUGCGUUGGAGGGGGCCAUUUGCUGAUGUCGAGUGGGCAUUCCGGUGGGCGCUUCUUAAAGCAAGGGGGGCCCGACGGGCCUCCCCCAAUACAUUUUAUAAAAGUAGCCCUUCCCAAAUUGAAUUUGAAGCAGUUUCAGCAUAUGAUUUGUGCAUUAUUUAAAAGUCGAAAAUUGACGAAUAAUAUACCCUCUCUUAGCGUAGUUUUAUUUUAGUAAGGGACUGUUUAUUUCUGCGGUGUUGAGUAUCAGUUAAAAAUGGACAAAAGGGCAGGAGCAUGCAACUAAACAAUGUAUUAUAUGUGAGUAACAUUCCAGACAUCAUAAUGAUAAUACGAGUAAAAACAUAGUUCUGUCUUAAAACCAGUUCGGUAAGUUUUUAGAAGACCUUUUUCUUCUCUCUCUUGCCCCUCUUCUCCUCUCUCCUCCCUUUGGCCCCUCUUUUCCUUUUUUUCUUUUUUGGGCGCAUGCCACCAUGCCCCCCCCUGGAUCCGCCACAAAACAGGGACAGGGCACGAAAGUGACCGCAAUAACAUUCGAUAGCGAUAGACGUACUAUAAUUCUUCACGUUUAACCCAUAAGUUACAAAAUUAUUAUUUUUGUCGGCGGUAAUGCAGUAAUGCACUUUCAAAGAUAAAGAGUAUCCGGAUUGCGUGAUGCGGAAGUUGGUAGAACAAUAUCUUCGGUCAAAGUGCGAGACCGUGUAUUUCCGUUUGUAACGUUGCAGAUUUCCUGUCUCACUUUAUUUUUUAUUUGGAAAACUAGUCAAAGUAAUUUCUUGAGAACCUCCUUGACCUUUUUUCUCUGUUACUAGAAUCAGGGGCGGACUGGCCAUGUGGGUGGGGAGGCGAUCGCCCCUAAAAAUUCGCCGCGGAGGUCCCGAAGGGGCCCCCGCGGCGAAUUGUUUUCGAGUCAUCGUUUUUUCCCCCGUAAUGUUGUAAUUUUCCUAACCUUUUCAGUCACUAAGAGCCCCCAAAAUCCUUGAAAUUUUGUCUCUAUGAGACAUGAAAGGUCGCCUAAAGCUUAUGUGAUGAAGGGGCCCCCGAGGAAUCCUGAGAAUGGAUUAUUUUGGAGUUUAAUACUGUAGAAUUUGACUCCAAUAAUGCUUAAAAUUGCGUUUGAAAAGUGUGAAAUGUUCAAAAUUUUCCGAGAGAGGGGCCCCCAAACGAUAGAAGGGGCCCCCAAACGAUAGAAGGGGCCCCCAUAUCUAGGUCGCCUCCUGACUUUUCGACUACCAGUCCGCCCCUGACUAGAAUAGUUUGCGUAAAUUUCAAGCUGUAAAUUUGGCUUUUUUCCUCCUCGAAAUAAUAAAAACGUAGUUUUAAAUGAAAAAUACAUUUGGUCUUCUAUUUCAACAGUUCAUGAAUUGUACUAUUCAAAUACAAUCAUGAGCUAUACCCACAAUCCGUGUGUUUUCUCAAAAAUUAAGUUAAAAAUUAACUGUUUGCUAAACGAGUUAAACCUCAGAUCCUCAAGACUUUCUGUAAACACGUAUUUCCAAGUCUGGUCAAAUUGACCAGUUUUUUAAGAAAUGUAUUUUGAUAAGUUUCCGUAGUAUUAUCUAUGUUAUUUCUAUUUCAUUGCAGUUAAAAAAAUACUCAUUUUUUAAAUUUUCACCUUUUUGGUAACAUAUGUAUAUGUACUGGCAAUUUCUCACCUUUUCUUCUCAUCCAUCAUAUGUAACUCCAUCAGAAAAGGUCAGUUGACCUUGGUCAAUUUGACCCGGCUUGAAAGCUAGGGGUAGUCGCCAAAAAAUAAUUCACUAACUUCACAUAACUCCCGCCAAAACAACAACUUUUAGAUGUACACCCUUUACGAAGCUCGAAAGACCUCUAACGAUUUUUUUAAUAAUUAUUGAUUUGAAAACAUCAUAGCAUUAAUUUAACGUUAUCUUCUCUCACAUUUCAAAAAUGAAAGACACCUCAACACGUGUUGAUGACAGCACUGAGAUACAACUAUUCGUGCCUGGUCGAUGUCCAUGUUGCGUACGCAAAUUGAAGGCGCGGUGCGUUGCUGGAGGCGUGAACUCACACUGCUCUAUGCUGCCAAUGAGGCGUCUUCUAGGCUCGGAAGAAAACUUAAAUAUAAAAAAUGAGGCCCGAAAAUGUCUCUUCAUCUUCGGCUGUGUCAAUACUCGU
Molecule: long non-coding RNA, 3954 nt
Filed under: Bemisia tabaci
Lineage: Eukaryota; Metazoa; Arthropoda; Insecta; Hemiptera; Aleyrodidae
Description: lncRNA ENSSSA3NGG008118
Source: RNAcentral